Molecule: ribosomal RNA, 459 nt
Filed under: uncultured Alphaproteobacteria bacterium
Lineage: Bacteria; Pseudomonadati; Pseudomonadota; Alphaproteobacteria
Description: bacterial SSU rRNA
Rfam family: Bacterial small subunit ribosomal RNA
Source: RNAcentral
AACGAACGCUGGCGGCAGGCCUAACACAUGCAAGUCGAACGUGAAGCUGGAGCUUGCUCCAGUGGAAAGUGGCAGACGGGUGAGUAACGCGUGGGAAUUUACCCAGUGGUUCGGAAUAACUUCGGGAAACCGGAGCUAAUACCGAAUACGCCCUCCGGGGAAAGAUUUAUCGCCAUUGGAUGAGCCCGCGUCGGAUUAGCUUGUUGGUGGGGUAAAAGCCUACCAAGGCGACGAUCCGUAGCUGGUCUGAGAGGAUGAUCAGCCACACUGGGACUGAGACACGGCCCAGACUCCUACGGGAGGCAGCAGUGGGGAAUAUUGCACAAUGGGCGCAAGCCUGAUGCAGCCAUGCCGCGUGAGUGAAGAAGGCCUUAGGGUUGUAAAACUCUUUCACCGGUGAAGAUAAUGACGGUAGCCGGAGAAGAAGCCCCGGCAACUCGUGCCAGCAGCCGCGGUAAC